AAUUUUAAUCUUUCAGUCUCGACUAUGUUUGGUCACCGAAAGCUCUACCGAACUGUAAUCUCUAGCACAUAGCUGUCGGAUUUUAUUUUCUACCUUUCGAGUGUCGGAUUGACAUGAAACUUUAAAUAUAGCUUCAUAAAAGUAAUUCCGACAUAUCUUCCAGUUUUCAUAAUUUUCUGACACUGUGCAUUUUCUGCUUAAAAAGCAGCUCCGUUUCUCACAGAAAAUUCUAAAUCUUCUAUUUUCGUUUCAAUUUUAGCACGAGUCGUUUUCGACUUAUAUUUUACUUUUCUAAAUUCAAUAAAAAUAGUAUCUCACACUAUUUUUAUUUAUUUUUUACUUUUAUAUCAAAAUUCGGUAUGUUACAUUCUCCACCCCUUAAAAAAGAGUUUCGUCCGUAAAACUCAAACCACGCC
RNAcentral lists this long non-coding RNA (416 nucleotides) under Ananas comosus (pineapple). RNAcentral describes it as "long non-coding RNA (ACOM_LNC024151)". The record is from RNAcentral. Lineage: Eukaryota; Viridiplantae; Streptophyta; Magnoliopsida; Poales; Bromeliaceae.